Molecule: small nucleolar RNA, 143 nt
Organism: Zingiber officinale
Lineage: Eukaryota; Viridiplantae; Streptophyta; Magnoliopsida; Zingiberales; Zingiberaceae
Product: small nucleolar RNA snoR136
Exons: 1
Source: RefSeq, a predicted model, not a curated record
UCUGCUUCAUCACGGUUAAUGAACAUAGAUCUACUAUCACGUUCUAUGGUCCAUUGUAAGAUAUGAAGCAUAAAUCACACUGCUACCUCGCUAUCCGAUGCAAUCGAAAUCGUGCUGCAUUUGGACGUUGGUGAGCUACAUUC